GAUGAACGCUGGCGGCGUGCCUAAUACAUGCAAGUCGAGCGAACGGACGAGAAGCUUGCUUCUCUGAUGUUAGCGGCGGACGGGUGAGUAACACGUGGAUAACCCCCCUAUAAGACUGGGAUAACUUCGGGAAACCGGAGCUAAUACCGGAUGAUAUUUUGAACCGCAUGGUUCAAAAGUGAAAGACGGUCUUGCUGUCACUUAUAGAUGGAUCCGCGCUGCAUUAGCUAGUUGGUAAGGUAACGGCUUACCAAGGCAACGAUGCAUAGCCGACCUGAGAGGGUGAUCGGCCACACUGGAACUGAGACACGGUCCAGACUCCUACGGGAGGCAGCAGUAGGGAAUCUUCCGCAAUGGGCGAAAGCCUGACGGAGCAACGCCGCGUGAGUGAUGAAGGUCUUCGGAUCGUAAAACUCUGUUAUUAGGGAAGAACAUAUGUGUAAGUAACUGUGCACAUCUUGACGGUACCUAAUCAGAAAGCCACGGCUAACUACGUG
This 497-nucleotide ribosomal RNA is filed under the name uncultured bacterium. Its description in RNAcentral is "partial 16S ribosomal RNA". It matches the Rfam family "Bacterial small subunit ribosomal RNA", at positions 28 to 507 of the family's 1533-position model. The record is from RNAcentral.